CUCUCUCUUCUGAGGGGUCGGCGGCCUCUCUCUCUUCUGAGGGGUCGGCGGCCUCUCUCUCUUCUGAGGGGUCGGCGGCCUCUGCUCGUGCCCCUGGCCUGUCUCCCCCGCGGCCCGGGGAGGUCGGAGCACCCGGGACGGACUUCAGCCUCUUUCGGACAGGCCAGCGGUGGGCCGGCGGCUGCCCUCGAGGCCGUCCUCCUGCUCCUCUCGGAUCGGGCCCCUGGGUGUAACUGCCACUGAAGUAGACAUUUAAAAGAGGACUGAUGACAACAAAAGCAAAGUUUCCUGUGACAGCAGGAUCUAUAGUUGUCCCUUAUGGGCAUGUGAUUGGAAAUGAGAAGUGGAGAGGGUCAGAGAUAGCCCAAAGGCUACAAGGAAAAAUCAGACUUAUUUUUGAAGAUGGCUUGGGACUUGUGGAUUUUCAUCUUUCAAACAGAACUUGCAUUUUAUAUAUUUCUGAAGCAGAUUUGGUUGCAGGAGAUGAAUUCAAACGAAGAUUGGUUCGGUUUAGAAAUGCCAGCAGUCUUGGGGGAAUUGUAAUUGUAGAGAAAACCCAAAUAAGCGAUCAGUAUUUCUUAGCAGUGCAAAAGCUUGUUGUGCUAGAACUUGGAAUGGUGUUGCUUCCUGUGACAAAUCAACGAGAAGCUUCUCAACUUAUUACUCAACUAGUCCGUGAGCAGAGUAAGGAUCUCAGCAGUAACCCCUUUCUUCGUAAGCAGUGUUCUCAGCUGGCAGAGCCAUCCUUGUUUCGGACGGUGCAACAAAUUCCAGGAGUUGGGAAAACAAAAGCUCUGCUUUUACUGCAACAGUUUGGAAGCAUCCACCGGCUUUGUAAUGCGUCUGUCAAAGAGCUUGAGCUAGUAGUUGGACAAACACUAGCACAACAAAUUUACAGGGUCUUGUGUAUCAGUAUAUGGCUGCUGCUGCUUGAGUAUGUAAAAGAAGUGCUGCUACAAGUACGCAUGGAGAGUAACUACUAAGGAUAGCAUCAAGUUUGUAAUAAAUAACUCCCAUCUAUCUUACACAAGAUUACUCGUGAUACUGUCUUUCGAAAUUCCAAAGGAAGCCAGUCCUCAUGCCUUUUGUUUCCACCAGCAGCUUGGAACAGUGGGCGUGCAAUUCCUUCUUUGCAAUAAGGAAAAACAACUUCUUGAAACAAGAAAUGCUAACAGGAGUAAGAACACUUUGAUCACUUCUAAGGCAACAAUACUCCAGUACCUAAGCCUGCCAGGGAAUGUUAGAAGCAUAAAGCACUGGAUUUAGCUGAACUACAUGUUCUCUCAUACAACAAAACAAGCUGGAUCAAGACAAUAAAUCUGUACUGGUGAGCCUCCCUUAAGGCUGAAUCCGAGCUCUCCUGCUUCAUGGUGGAUGCGAAUGGUACGCGGAGCCGUCCACCUCUGCUUGGCUGAGAACACGGUCAGUGGGCCCUGCAGAUGCUGCUAAGUGCACUGUGUCCCAAUGAAGGCUCACUUCCAUCCCUAGACUGACGGAGUAUUUUAACCUGUUUGCCUUUGGAAUCUAUGAAAAAUAUGCGGUCAACUUCCAAUGAAUUGCAAAUUUCACCAGAGAACACGAUGGUAAAGCUCUUGGACAAUGAAGAUUCCUGUUCUGUAUCUCAGAAAUUAAGUCAAUUACAAUAUUGAAAUUGAAAGAAAAGGAGACUCUCGAAGGCUGGCUUACUGCAAUUUACCUCAACCUUUAUACACCUGCACAAGUUAUAUGGACAGAAACCAGCUCCAUGGUUGCUAGGACAUCUGACAAGCUCUACUUCUGGGAAAUUUUUCAGGAUGAUCAACUGCCCGAUUCCCAAGCCCAUGAAGCUCACUAGAAGUGGUGUGUUUGUUUCAGUGGACCUUUGAUCAAGCUCCAGCCCAGAAAUCAAACAAGCUCCCAUUAAAUGAUGACUGCAAAACUGCCAUGAUCUUAAACUCUGUGCAAAGAGAAAAGAAUGGCAGAAAUGUUUCCCCACGUUUCAGGACCAGCCACUAAUCUCUGGGUGAAGCUUAAUGCACAAACAGCCCUGGGGCCAGAGAGGAGAAGGCUCCUACAGACUGAGGUAUCCAGUCACCAUCCAAGCAUGCCUGGAAGGGAUGCACUUUGUCUCCUGAUGAAAGGCUUCUUGUGGAUAAAGGAGUGUUCUCAGCACUGCCUCACCUGCACCUCUCCUCCCAUUUGCUUCUCACGGCCUACAGAAACCUUUCUUUUGCGUUUUGGAAAACAGUGCUUUUUACUUCUCCUGUACAGGGGAGGGGGCCACCCAGGCAGUUUGUGUUCACUGGCAGGCCACAACUCCAUUGUAACCAGCCUCUCAGAAAACUGGUGGGUGGAUGACUGGGGAAAUACACAAUCUGGGGAAGACUCCCCCUCGUGUAAAGCCCAAAUUCUGUGCACUAAAAAGUUAUUGAGCAGACAGGUCUCAGGUCUCUGAAAGCACUUCAUUUUGUUUUCCUCCAUGCAGAAAGGAGGCCUCCAUUCCUUUCCCAGACAGCAUUUGCACUUGCUUCACAUUUGGAUAAUCCCAAGAAUGUUAAUGUUCAGGUCAUUACAAUAUCUGGCAGCCAAACUUCCCAGGAGUUUCCACACCUGCUAUUUAAUUUCUUGUCAACAGAAUGCUAGAUGCUUCAUUUAAUUACUGUUUAUUUCUUUGCCGAGCCACGACAACUCAGAUUGUGAAUUGGAUUUUACCCUGGCUUAUACACUAUCAGUAAACCUAUUAAUUAAAUAGCAACACAAGAAUGGUUAUUACUAAGGAAGCUGCAAAAUGACCAAGAAUAGAGCGUGAUUUAAGCUUUCAUUGCAUACAGGGGGGGAAGGAAAAAACAAGUAAAUUGAGUAACUACUGUGAAGACAAUUCAAAUAGUAAACUCAGCUAUCAGUUCUAGAGCCUUCCUCCUCCCCGAGAGCAUAGCUGCACUUCACAAAGGAAUAUUUCAAGUCUUUAAAUAUUAUUAUACUGAGCUCCUGAAGCAAUAAAAGCUUUUUAAAACCUAAAGUUCAGUUAGCUAGUUACUUUAUUUCUUCCUGCUUGGCUGAAUAGCAUUGUUGAACUGCAGAAUCAGGAAGCUGGGAUGUUUUUAAUGUAUCAUUAUCAGAGGCAAGACCUGCACAAGAGUUAGAAAUUCUUGCAAUGUGUUACUUAGGUACCUCAUCAGGGAACAUCUGGAAAGAAACAGACACUGCUAUUUUUUUUUUUUCCUCCUCAGCGCUGCCUCCAACUCCAGGGCCACCAAUAUCAGGAGGACAUGGAGCUGUUGGAGCAGGGCCAGAGGAGGCCACGAAGAUGCUCCGAAGGCUGGAGCCCCUCUGCUGUGAGGACAGGCUGAG
Calidris pugnax (ruff) is the source of this 3330-nucleotide RNA transcript. It is a transcript of the gene named Fanconi anemia core complex associated protein 24, with no coding region annotated. The record is from RefSeq and is a predicted model, not a curated record. Lineage: Eukaryota; Metazoa; Chordata; Aves; Charadriiformes; Scolopacidae. The transcript has 14 exons.